RNAcentral lists this ribosomal RNA (468 nucleotides) under Johnius distinctus. RNAcentral describes it as "partial large subunit ribosomal RNA". It matches the Rfam family "Bacterial large subunit ribosomal RNA", at positions 1996 to 2606 of the family's 2925-position model. Lineage: Eukaryota; Metazoa; Chordata; Actinopteri; Sciaenidae. The record is from RNAcentral.
ACGGUAAAACGAGGGCUUAGCUGUCUCCUUUUUCAUGUCAAUGAAAUUGAUCUUCCCGUGCAAAAGCGGGAAUUACUUCAUAAGACGAGAAGACCCUGUGAAGCUUUAGACACCAAGACAGAUCUGGUUAAGACCCCCUAAUAAAGAAUUAAACUGCUAAACCCUGUCUUACGUCUUCGGUUGGGGUGACCGCGGGGAAUUACAUAACCCCCGCGUGGAAUAGGAGCAUAAAAUUAAUUUUGUUCCCAGAACUAAGAGCCUCCACUCUAAUAAGCAGAAUCUCUGGCCCUUCAUGAUCCGGCAAUGCCGAUUAACGAACCAAGUUACUCCAGGGAUAACAGCGCCAUCCUCUUUCAGAGUCCCCAUCGACAAGAGGGUUUACGACCUCGAUGUUGGAUCAGGACAUCCUAAUGGUGCAGCCGCUAUUAAGGGUUCGUUUGUUCAACGAUUAAUAGUCCUACGUGAUCU